This 72-nucleotide transfer RNA is filed under the name Camelus bactrianus (Bactrian camel). It matches the Rfam family "tRNA". From Rfam's summary of the family: Transfer RNA (tRNA) molecules are approximately 80 nucleotides in length. Their secondary structure includes four short double-helical elements and three loops (D, anti-codon, and T loops). RNAcentral also lists the same sequence under 2 other names. The record is from Rfam by way of RNAcentral. Lineage: Eukaryota; Metazoa; Chordata; Mammalia; Artiodactyla; Camelidae.
GAGGGUGUAGCUCAGUGGUAGAGUGAGUGCCUAGCAUGCAUGAGGUCCUGGGUUCAAUCCCCAGUACCUCCA